CAGUAUUGUGGGAUGUGGCUCCGGAAAGAAUGAAAACCAGAAAAGUUUGUCUUUGCACCGGUUACCAAGAAGUGAAAAUAGAAAAGGAAAAUGGUUAGAAGCAAUUGAAACUGAAAAUAUCAAGCCAAAUGUAAAGGAUAUAUCAUAGUAUGUUCCCUACAUUUCCCCGAAAGUGCUUUCAAUAGAACAAUGGAUGUGAUUAGUCUGCACGAUGAUGCUAUACCAGUAUGUUUGCCGCUGCAUUCACACAGGGUACCGGUUGAGCCUCAAAUCCCGAACUCAAAAAUGAACAGAGUGAAUCCGAGUGCAUCACAGGCUGCACGAAAUAGUUUAGUUCUAUAAUUUUCUCUGUUAUUAAGUAAUUAUUGUUUUUUUUUUUCUAUUACCUACUGUAUAUUGUGUUGUUCAUCGUAAUAAAAAACUAUUAUAUACCUA
Molecule: long non-coding RNA, 435 nt
Organism: Colias croceus (clouded yellow)
Lineage: Eukaryota; Metazoa; Arthropoda; Insecta; Lepidoptera; Pieridae
Exons: 3
Source: RefSeq, a predicted model, not a curated record